Molecule: transfer RNA, 55 nt
Filed under: Candidatus Komeilibacteria bacterium
Lineage: Bacteria; Candidatus Komeiliibacteriota
Description: tRNA-Thr
Rfam family: tRNA
About the family: Transfer RNA (tRNA) molecules are approximately 80 nucleotides in length. Their secondary structure includes four short double-helical elements and three loops (D, anti-codon, and T loops). Further hydrogen bonds mediate the characteristic L-shaped molecular structure. tRNAs have two regions of fundamental functional importance: the anti-codon, which is responsible for specific mRNA codon recognition, and the 3' end, to which the tRNAs corresponding amino acid is attached (by aminoacyl-tRNA synthetases). tRNAs cope with the degeneracy of the genetic code in two manners: having more than one tRNA (with a specific anti-codon) for a particular amino acid; and 'wobble' base-pairing, i.e. permitting non-standard base-pairing at the 3rd anti-codon position.
Source: RNAcentral
GCCGACGUAGCUCAGUUGGUAGAGCAACAGUUUUGUAAACUGUAGGUCGUCGGUU